RNAcentral lists this non-coding RNA (24 nucleotides) under Arabidopsis thaliana (thale cress). The record is from RNAcentral. Lineage: Eukaryota; Viridiplantae; Streptophyta; Magnoliopsida; Brassicales; Brassicaceae.
ACUGCUCAUACACCACCAUGGAUG